AUCCUUUUGUAGUUCAUGAGCGUGAUGAUUUGUUUUUCAUGCUCGUGAGAUGUGCCUCCCACAGAGCUUGCGGGGGAGGGGGGGUGACGGUUGACUACUGAUG
This is a small nucleolar RNA of Nycticebus coucang (slow loris), 103 nucleotides long. RefSeq annotates it as small nucleolar RNA U13. Lineage: Eukaryota; Metazoa; Chordata; Mammalia; Primates; Lorisidae. The record is from RefSeq and is a predicted model, not a curated record. The transcript has a single exon.